CAGCAGCCGCGGUAAUACGUAGGGUGCGAGCGUUAAUCGGAAUUACUGGGCGUAAAGCGUGCGCAGGCGGUUAUAUAAGACAGAUGUGAAAUCCCCGGGCUCAACCUGGGACCUGCAUUUGUGACUGUAUAGCUAGAGUACGGUAGAGGGGGAUGGGAUUCCGCGUGUAGCAGUGAAAUGCGUAGAUAUGCGGAGGAACACCGAUGGCGAAGGCAAUCCCCUGGACCUGUACUGACGCUCAUGCACGAAAGCGUGGGGAGCAAACAGGAUUAGAUACCCGAGUAGUACCUGUCUCUUAUAC
This 301-nucleotide ribosomal RNA is filed under the name uncultured bacterium. RNAcentral's name for it is "partial 16S ribosomal RNA". It matches the Rfam family "Bacterial small subunit ribosomal RNA", at positions 509 to 807 of the family's 1533-position model. The record is from RNAcentral.